AAUCAACGCUGGCGGCGUGCCUCAGACAUGCAAGUCGAACGCGAAAUUUCCCUUCGGGGAGAAAGUAGAGUGGCGCACGGGUGAGUAACACGUAGGUAAUUUGCCUUUGGGUGGGGAAUAACUCAGGGAAACUUGAGCUAAUACCGCAUAAUGCAGCGGCUCGACAUCGAGACAGUUGUUAAAGCGGGGGAUUGGAGCAAUCCGACCUCGCGCCUAAAGAGAAGCCUGCGGCAGAUUAGCUAGUUGGUAAGGUAAUGGCUUACCAAGGCGACGAUCUGUAACCGGCCUGAGAGGGCGGUCGGUCACACUGACACUGACAUACGGGUCAGACUCCUACGGGAGGCAGCAGUCGGGAAUUUUGGGCAAUGGGCGCAAGCCUGACCCAGCAACGCCGCGUGAAGGAUGAAAUUUUUCGGAAUGUAAACUUCGCAAGAACAGGAAGAAUAAGUGUGGGACAAUACCC
RNAcentral lists this ribosomal RNA (463 nucleotides) under uncultured bacterium. RNAcentral describes it as "bacterial SSU rRNA". It matches the Rfam family "Bacterial small subunit ribosomal RNA", at positions 32 to 467 of the family's 1533-position model. The record is from RNAcentral.